Bemisia tabaci is the source of this 1305-nucleotide non-coding RNA. NCBI's taxonomy places the organism in Eukaryota, Metazoa, Arthropoda, Insecta, Hemiptera, Aleyrodidae. The record is from RefSeq and is a predicted model, not a curated record.
GGCCGUUAACCUGACGAUCGCAAAAUACUCAACUUAAAUUUAUUAUGUUAACCACGGCUGCCCCAGUUCAAAUUUGGAUCGAUGUAGCUCACAAUCAGUGUGCCUGCGGUAGUUAUGCUGAUUAAAAAUUUUACUGGGUUGCUUAAUACCUAUAACUUCGUUCUACCAUGAAACAUUUCUUGAUCAGUUAACUCAAGUGAUAGUUCAAAUUGCCACUGCAUCAAGUUGACGGUCCUUUCCUAUGUGUUCUGCUCCUACCACAGAUGUCUCUUACUCAAAAUAUCCUCCUGGGAAUUGAACUACUCGCAGCGGCUUUUUUAAUCUGUGUGGAUGCAAUCAUAGUGCACUCAUCUCUCAAUGAAACGGAAAUAUCUCAGUUAGAAAAAUACAACAUCAUACCUAAUUACAUGUCCAUGCCACCGGAUGCUAGGCUUGAGGUAACGUAUCCGGGGACUUAUCGGAACAAAGCAUCAGUGCGUUUCGGGAAUUUAAUAAAGGAACAGCGAAUGAAGGACAUUCCGACACUGAACUGGGCAGCAGAGCCGGAGAACGAAUAUUUCACGUUGAUCAUGAUCAAUCCUGAUCGGCCGAAUAAAGAACCUUUGCCCGUGGAGUAUUUGCAAUGGCUGGUAGUGAAUAUCAAAGGCAACAACGUCUCUACUGGACAGCCAAUAUUUAAGUAUGAGCCCCCUAAAUCCAUCGAGAAGUUUCCUACUUAUCAUACUCAUGUAUUUCUUCUAUACUUCCAAAGAGAGGGAAUUUUGCACGUAGAUAGGUCAUACGCCGCGUCAGGAAAAAAAAAAGAGCAAAUUAGGGUCGCUUUUAGGGUCAAUAAAUUUGUUAUCCAGCAUAAUUUGCGUGAGCCGUAUGCAGUUAAUUUCUGUCGAGUGAAGAACCCUAAAAAUAAAGGAGACUUCAUUCUCGGAUUUUGAAAAAGAAAAAAAAAUACGAGGUUCCUCAAAAGCUGUGCUGCUCUCCAAACAUCAAAGUUCUCGGGAAACAUUUCACUCUCUCUCUCUACUUUGCUCAUCACUCAGGAGAAUCAAUUGAUACCAUUUUCAUCAGAAUAUUGAUGGCUGAAGUUGAAAAAUGCGUAUUUCAGACUGCAAAGAUGUCCGUCUCCGCACUAAUGUUUCAUUUUUCACAGGAUAGUUAACCAAUAGUUCCUAUGAAAAUAUUCCCUGAAUUUUCUACCCUCAUUCUUAAAAAAUCGCAUCUAAUGGAGAGGAAAAAUGUACCUUAAUUUUCCUUAAAGAAAAUAAAAAAACCGGAGAUUUUCUUACGUUGCAUUUGAGAUACAAGUUA